RNAcentral lists this ribosomal RNA (943 nucleotides) under Neooccultibambusa thailandensis. Its description in RNAcentral is "partial 28S large subunit ribosomal RNA". It matches the Rfam family "Eukaryotic large subunit ribosomal RNA", at positions 24 to 991 of the family's 3401-position model. Lineage: Eukaryota; Fungi; Ascomycota; Dothideomycetes; Pleosporales; Occultibambusaceae. The record is from RNAcentral.
UACCCCCGGCAGAACUCAGCAUAUCAAUAAGCGGAGGAAAAGAAACCAACAGGGAUUGCCCUAGUAACGGCGAGUGAAGCGGCAACAGCUCAAAUUUGAAAUCUGGCCCUCUCAGGGCCCGAGUUGUAAUUUGUAGAGGGUGCUUUGGCGUUGGCUGCGGUCUAAGUUCCUUGGAACAGGACGUCAUGGAGGGUGAGAAUCCCGUACGUGGCUGCCAGACUUCGCCGUGUAAAGCCCCUUCGACGAGUCGAGUUGUUUGGGAAUGCAGCUCUAAAUGGGAGGUAAAUUUCUUCUAAAGCUAAAUAUUGGCCAGAGACCGAUAGCGCACAAGUAGAGUGAUCGAAAGAUGAAAAGCACUUUGGAAAGAGAGUCAAAAAGCACGUGAAAUUGUUGAAAGGGAAGCGCUUGCAGCCAGACUUGCCUGUAGUUGCUCAUCCGGGCUCUCGCCCGGUGCACUCUUCUGCGGGCAGGCCAGCAUCAGUUCGAGCGGCCGGACAAAGACCUCUAUCACGUAUCUUCCUUCGGGAUGACCUUAUAGGGGAGGUGUAAUGCGGCCAGCUCGGAUUGAGGUCCGCGCAUCUGCUAGGAUGCUGGCGUAAUGGCUGUAAGCGGCCCGUCUUGAAACACGGACCAAGGAGUCUAACAUCUAUGCGAGUGUUUGGGUGUCAAGCCCGGGCGCGCAAUGAAAGUGAACGGAGGUGGGAACCCUUUGGGUGCACCAUCGACCGAUCCUGAUGUCUUCGGAUGGAUUUGAGUAAGAGCAUAGCUGUUGGGACCCGAAAGAUGGUGAACUAUGCCUGAAUAGGGUGAAGCCAGAGGAAACUCUGGUGGAGGCUCGCAGCGGUUCUGACGUGCAAAUCGAUCGUCAAAUUUGGGCAUAGGGGCGAAAGACUAAUCGAACUAUCUAGUAGCUGGUUCCUGCGAAGUCUCGGGUAGAGGAAUA